This 1515-nucleotide long non-coding RNA is filed under the name Anas platyrhynchos platyrhynchos (common mallard). Its description in RNAcentral is "lncRNA (ENSAPLG00000028891.1)". Lineage: Eukaryota; Metazoa; Chordata; Aves; Anseriformes; Anatidae. The record is from RNAcentral.
CUUCUGUCCCUGACUUGAAUGCCACUUUUCAGUAAAGCUGGGCCUCUUUUCUCUGCAUCAAGAGGAAAGCAAGGACAAAGAUCAGAAGCUCUGAAAAUACCAAUAGAAAAAAUGAAGAGAACUGCAGUGACUUAACCUGGAGAAAACAACAGUAGGUGAUCACACUAUACCAUGGUGUGGGUCUUCAAACAAAGAAAAGGAAACUGCAAAGGCAAUAUUCUGCUUUCAGUAUACAGAGAAAAGAAGCCUCAAGAAGAGGACAGCAUCAUAGAAUCACAGAAUCACUAAGGUUGGAAAAGACCUCGAGGAUCAUCUGGUCCAACCAUUCCCCUCCCACCAAUGUCAUCCACUAUACCAUGUCCCUAAGCACCACGUCCAACCUUUCCUUGAACACCCCCAGGGAUGGUGACUCCAACACUUCCCUGGGCAACCCAUUCCAAUACCUGACAACUCUUUCUGAGAAGUCUUCUCACUUCAAUUCUCCACUAAGAGAAAGAUCAAAUGAGACUACUUAGUGGGGUAUGAAGCUCAUGAAACUUUCCAACAAGCCAAUUUGAACUUGUUCUUGUGUUAUGCAGAGGUUCCUGGCAUGCCAAACUGAUUUUGGCUUUGAAUGAAGCAAACUUGCCGUGAAUCAAUUUGUGGGGAAGAACAAAACAACAACAACAAAAUGCACUACGUAUUUCCAUUGAUCUCUAUUAGAUCCAAAGAAAAGGAUGAGCAGAAACAAAUCCAUGCUGAAAAGAGGCACUGAAAGGGAGCUGUUCUGCAAGAAGGUGAAGGUGUAAUAACACCAAUAUGAUAAUUGCCAUAGUCCUGUUUAUUAGCUGUAAUUUACAAAUUCAGAGAUUAAGGGGAACUACACUUGUUAAAUAGCCUCUAUAUUUGCUAUAAAUCAGCUUCCCUGUUUACUAUAAACAUAACCUGACUGUGGAAUCAGUGAUGACAAUGAUGAAAGAAUUAUUUCUGCUCCUCUGAGAAGCUUGGCAGCUUUCCUAUUGCUAAUGCUUUCUUUGCAUCUCCUAACAGUUCAAGCCUAUUUACUGCAAUCUUCAUUGUGGGUCCUGACUACUCUCUGUCUUUAGUCUCUUUUUAAGCCUGACUUUGAGUAAUAGCUUUCUAAAAAUGCCUUGAAGUCCAUUUUAAAUGUGACAAAAUGGUCUGUAAGAGACUAGGGAAAUGUACAAACCUCAUGGGAUUUACCCAAAACCCCCUGAAGAAGGGAUGGAAACUAAUUGCUGUCUAUAUUCACCUACUGUGUUAAACAUUUUUUAUGGAGACAAUACUAAUAUAUUUUUUACUAUGGAGCUGCAGCUUUUCUCACAAGAAUGUCAAUCAAUUGAAUGUUAAGAUGUUACUCAGAUAAAGAAAAGGUCCAGAAAAGAAUGUCCCAUAUGGGAACACUUUCAGGUACACUACUAUUUUCCAGGACAUUUCAGAACUUCAUGGAAGAUCCUCCCAUGUGUAGAUGAACUUUACAGACCCAGAUGCUGAACGAGAGGUGUAAUCAAGUCU